ACCCCCUCUUUUUCCAGAUGAGGAAUCUGAGGCCGAGAGAAAUAAUCUGAGACUGAGUUUCCAGACAGUGUUUUCUCAUUCCAGCAAGCCUGGACCCCUCUCUGUGACUCCCCUCCCUCCGGGCCGAGACCUCGGGAGCAGCAGAGGUCUUGGGUCCCGUCACACUCCAUGCGAAGUCCUUUCAAUGGAGUUUGGAAACUUUAGGCUGCUUCCUCCCGAUUGGGCUCCCGAGACUAAAGAACCUGAGGAAAUCAUUAACUUCCCAGGGCACUGCUGGGAGCUGUGACCUUUUCCGAUCUCAUUGGGAGGGGGAGGGGAGCCCCACCCUCCUGCGAGCUGGGUGGGGAGAGGCUGCUCCGGGAACAGGUGUUUCCAGGAGUCUCUCCGUUCAUCCCGGGUGCAGGUACCUGCCGCCGCCGAGGUAGUGUCCCAGCUCCCGCCCCGUAUUAUUUCUCCCUCCUUCGUCCUUCAGCUUGUUCUUUUUAAAACAAGGUGUGUGUUGGGGGGUGGGGGUGGGGGCUUUUAUGCAAAGAAACUUCAAUUUAUUAAAAUAUGAAAUUCACAUCUGAAAUUUCAAUAGCGCAUUAAGUCUGCAGAAUCAAGUUGCUGUGGCAACCUUCACUCCCGCUCCUCGCUCGGGGUGACAAAGGGGCCUUUUGUUACGUGGAGAGCGCUGGGCUGGGCAUUGGGACAUCCUAUUCAGCCAAUCCACACAAAGGAAACAUACUUCCCCCUUGGCAGGCUGGGCCCGGAGCAUGCUAUAUGAUUGCCUGUGCCUUUAAUAAUGCUUCCCCGCUAAUGCUGGGAAAAUGAGCUGCCUAUUGUUAGCUGCUUUAAACCGAAGUUUCUUCUCGGCACUUAGUGGGAGGACAGAGCCCUUGAUCGUCCUGCAUUUGCUCUUGUAAUGGAAAACUGCUAUUGUGAUGUGGACUUUUCGGGGAGGGCCCACAAACUAUUACAAUGCAUCAUGUACCACACACAAUUCAUCUCUCCAUUCCCCAUCUGAUGAGCCCCUGCUUUGUUUCCAAUUCUUUGCUGAUGGACAGAAAAAAGUGCCAUUAUGAAUAUCUUGGGGCUUAUCAAGAACCAGAGAAGCAACAUCUGAGCAAGUCAGAGGCUGAAAACAGCAGACAAACUGUGUAACUGAGAGAUUCCUGAAACUGGAGAUUUGUAAGACAUGCCUCCUCCCCUACCCCCAUGAAGAAAACAUGAACAACAGAGCAUCUGUUACAAAUAGAUGCUGUAGAGCAAAAGAAUUCUCACACUGGCCAUGCUCAAAGGACCGUAUCUCGGGCCGUACUCCGAGUCCAUCAGGAGCUGAGCCCCAGGUUUCCUCCCGUGACAGUGGACACUGAUAAGCUGAAGAGUGUCCAGAAGAAGGUGACCAAGAGAGGACCAGAACUAGAAACCAUCCAUGAGCGGGAACUGGGAAUGGUUGUCCUGGAGAAGGGGAGCCUGGAGUGUAGUUGUUAUUUGUCCACUGGUUUUGGAGAGGACCAACGACACCACGGGGUGAUGUCUUGACUUGCAUGUGGGUUGGAUUUCAGUGAGGCAGUCAUCAGCCUCAGUCUCUCUUUCAGAGCCAUCCAAGUCCAAUGGCAAGACAAAAGUCAGCAUGACUGUCCAUGGAUAACCUUAGCAGCUUCGAGCCAGUUUGGCUGGAGUAUAAGGACGAAGGGGAGAGCAGGGGUGAAAUGAUAAAUAUUUAACAACCAGCUUUCCAGAAAAAAACUACACAUGAUGUAUUUUUCAUCUUCAUGAUUAAUACCUUCUCCAUUUUCUCAAGCCUAGAAAAAAUUUUAAAUUUUAAAUUUUAAAUAUUUUUCCAUGUUUCCAUGAUUUAUUUUCUUUCCCUCCCCUCUUCCCUCCCCCCUCCCAGAGCCAACAAGCAAUCCACUGGGUUGUACAAAUGUUAUCACUUGAUACUUAUUUCCAUCUUAUUCAUUUUUGCUAUAGAGCCAUAUUUUAAAGCCAAAACCCCAAAUCACAUCCCCAUAUAUACAUGCGAUAAGUGAUGUCAUGUGUUUUGCUUUUGCAUUUCUGCUCCCAUAGUCCUUUUUCUCAAUGUGGUUAGCAUUCUUUCCCAUAAGUCCUUCAGGAGUGUCCUAUCAAUCCUAGAAAUUUGAAAAAAGAAAUAAUAAAUGCAUCCCUAAUUUGUAGCCUUUGCCA
Monodelphis domestica (gray short-tailed opossum) is the source of this 2169-nucleotide long non-coding RNA. NCBI's taxonomy places the organism in Eukaryota, Metazoa, Chordata, Mammalia, Didelphimorphia, Didelphidae. The record is from Ensembl.